UAUUUCCUUGGGCUAUUACUAGGGUUUUAUUUUAUAUGUCAUGUUACGUUGCAGUUUAGACUCACCGAUUGGGAAGAACUUAGUGAUGGCCAUGGCCUGCCAAGUUUUGGACAUCUAUAGACCUUUGUCCAGAUCUCACCAUCUAUGAGCGAAAAAACAAGCAUGCUGCAGCCACCACCAAACUCAUAGGAAAAAGAAACAAACUGAUAUUAAUUGCUGCCAUCGGCUAUAGAAAAUGCUCUAAGCUUAACUAAGCAAGGAUUCAACAACUGAGAGUACUCCAUGUAUCUAGAGCUACUGGAAAACUCGAAUCUCAAUCAGUGCCUAGCAUCUAAGGGCUUCACCGAGUCACUAUAAGGCAUGCACAGUUGGGAGCACACUUUCCAAUUCCCACGCAACACAAACUGCACAGUGCAUGACAUCACCGACCAACACAAUCACCAAAUUCAAAUAAUCUAAGUGCAUAUCCACCAAGUCAAUAAACCACACAAGUAGCCAAAAUCAAGCACACACCAUGUCCGCUGAUACACAUAGAUCAGAUAAAAUAUACAACGUGGGACAACAACGAGUAGAACAUGGUGGUGUCGUGGCAGAUUGGGCUCUCCCAACAGCUGAUUGCUCUUCGUAGCAUGGUUUCUUGGUUUCCUUCAGUAUUUUAGAGUUUCUAACUCAGUUUCUUACAAAAGAAACAAAAUCAUCCUAUCUCUUGCAACAUUUUUCAAUGGCUUUCUAGAUAUGGGCGGGCGUAGGACUAUAUAUAUAAUAGACAUUAGUAUUGAUUUAGCUUAAAAGUUAGUAAUCAUGCAAACCGUUGGUGCAAGGCAUACAAAAGAAGAAAACUGAUCAUGCAUAUCAUUUAUUUAUCAUGACUGCACUCCAAUCUGAUCCAAAAGUACCAGUGUGCAAGCCAG
RNAcentral lists this long non-coding RNA (911 nucleotides) under Sorghum bicolor (sorghum). Its description in RNAcentral is "long non-coding RNA (SBIC_LNC015221)". Lineage: Eukaryota; Viridiplantae; Streptophyta; Magnoliopsida; Poales; Poaceae. The record is from RNAcentral.